RNAcentral lists this ribosomal RNA (175 nucleotides) under Habenaria anomaliflora. Its description in RNAcentral is "5.8S ribosomal RNA". The stretch from base 4 to 159 matches the Rfam family "5.8S ribosomal RNA". From Rfam's summary of the family: 5.8S ribosomal RNA (5.8S rRNA) is a component of the large subunit of the eukaryotic ribosome. The record is from RNAcentral. Lineage: Eukaryota; Viridiplantae; Streptophyta; Magnoliopsida; Asparagales; Orchidaceae.
UAGGACUCUCGGCAAUGGAUAUCUUGGCUCUUGCAUCGAUGAAGAGCGCAGCGAAAUGCGAUACGUGGUGCGAAUUGCAGAAUCCCGUGAACCAUCGAGUUUUUGAACGCAAGUUGCGCCUGAGGCCACCUGGCCAAGGGCACGUCCACCUGGGCGUCAAGCAUUAAAUCGCUCA